CAGUAGCCGCGGUAAUACGUAGGUCCCGAGCGUUGUCCGGAUUUAUUGGGCGUAAAGCGAGCGCAGGCGGUUAGAUAAGUCUGAAGUUAAAGGCUGUGGCUUAACCAUAGUACGCUUUGGAAACUGUUUAACUUGAGUGCAAGAGGGGAGAGUGGAAUUCCAUGUGUAGCGGUGAAAUGCGUAGAUAUAUGGAGGAACACCGGUGGCGAAAGCGGCUCUCUGGCUUGUAACUGACGCUGAGGCUCGAAAGCGUGGGGAGCAAACAGGAUUAGAUACCCCUGUAGUCCCUGUCUCUUAUACC
RNAcentral lists this ribosomal RNA (301 nucleotides) under uncultured bacterium. RNAcentral describes it as "partial 16S ribosomal RNA". It matches the Rfam family "Bacterial small subunit ribosomal RNA", at positions 509 to 808 of the family's 1533-position model. The record is from RNAcentral.